GUGUCAGCAGCCGCGGUAAUACGAAGGGGGCUAGCGUUGCUCGGAAUCACUGGGCGUAAAGCGCACGUAGGCGGAUUUCUAAGUCAGGGGUGAAAUCCCGGAGCUCAACUCCGGAACUGCCUCUGAUACUGGAGAUCUCGAGUCCGGGAGAGGUGAGUGGAACUGCGAGUGUAGAGGUGAAAUUCGUAGAUAUUCGCAAGAACACCAGUGGCGAAGGCGGCUCACUGGCCCGGUACUGACGCUGAGGUGCGAAAGCGUGGGGAGCAAACAGGAUUAGAUACCCUAGUAGUCC
This 292-nucleotide ribosomal RNA is filed under the name uncultured bacterium. RNAcentral describes it as "partial 16S ribosomal RNA". It matches the Rfam family "Bacterial small subunit ribosomal RNA", at positions 505 to 796 of the family's 1533-position model. The record is from RNAcentral.